AACGUAGGAGGCAAGCGUUAUCCGGAUUUAUUGGGCGUAAAGCGCGUGCAGGUGGUUUGACAAGUUGGAUGUGAAAGCUCCCGGCUCAACUGGGAGAGGUCGUUCAAAACUGUCAGACUAGAGAAUAGGAGAGGGAGGUGGCAUUCCGGGUGUAGUGGUGAAAUGCGUAGAUAUCCGGAGGAACACCAGUGGCGAAAGCGGCCUCCUGGACUAUUUCUGACACUAAGACGCGAAAGCUAGGGUAGCAAACGGGAUUAGAGACCCCGGUAGUCCUAGCUGUAAACGAUGUAGACUUGGUGUUGGCGGAGUUAAAUCUGCCAGUACCGUAGCUAACGCGAUAAGUCUACCGCCUGGGGACUACGAUCGCAAGAUUAAA
Molecule: ribosomal RNA, 376 nt
Filed under: uncultured bacterium
Lineage: Bacteria
Description: bacterial SSU rRNA
Rfam family: Bacterial small subunit ribosomal RNA
Source: RNAcentral